GAUGAAGAACGUAGCGAAAUGCGAUAAGUAAUGUGAAUUGCAGAAUUCAGUGAAUCAUCGAAUCUUUGAACGCACAUUGCGCCCGCCAGUAUUCUGGCGGGCAUGCCUGUUCGAGCGUCAUUUCAACCAUCAAGCCCCCGGCUUGUGUUGGGGACCUGCGGCUGCCGCAGGCCCUGAAAACCAGUGGCGGGCUCGCUGGUCACUCCGAGCGUAGUAAUACAUCUCGCUCAGGGCGUGCUGCGGGUUCCGGCCGUUAAAAAGCCUUAUUUACCCAAGGUUGACCUCGGAUCAGGUAGGAAGACCCGCUGAACUUAAGCAUAUCAAUAAGCGGAGGA
This 335-nucleotide unclassified non-coding RNA is filed under the name soil metagenome. RNAcentral describes it as "partial contains 5.8S ribosomal RNA, internal transcribed spacer 2, and large subunit ribosomal RNA". The stretch from base 1 to 120 matches the Rfam family "5.8S ribosomal RNA", at positions 35 to 154 of the family's 154-position model. The record is from RNAcentral.